RNAcentral lists this ribosomal RNA (162 nucleotides) under Geijera paniculata. Its description in RNAcentral is "Coatesia paniculata 5.8S ribosomal RNA". It matches the Rfam family "5.8S ribosomal RNA". From Rfam's summary of the family: 5.8S ribosomal RNA (5.8S rRNA) is a component of the large subunit of the eukaryotic ribosome. The record is from RNAcentral. Lineage: Eukaryota; Viridiplantae; Streptophyta; Magnoliopsida; Sapindales; Rutaceae.
UAACGACUCUCGGCAACGGAUAUCUCGGCUCUCGCAUCGAUGAAGAACGUAGCGAAAUGCGAUACUUGGUGUGAAUUGCAGAAUCCCGUGAACCAUCGAGUCUUUGAACGCAAGUUGCGCCCCAAGCCGUCAGGCCGAGGGCACGUCUGCCUGGGUGUCACG